CAGGUAGGGAUACCCGCUGAACUUAAGCAUAUCAAUAAGCGGAGGAAAAGAAACCAACAGGGAUUACCUCAGU
This 73-nucleotide ribosomal RNA is filed under the name Podosphaera macrospora. RNAcentral's name for it is "partial 28S ribosomal RNA". It matches the Rfam family "Eukaryotic large subunit ribosomal RNA", at positions 12 to 84 of the family's 3401-position model. Lineage: Eukaryota; Fungi; Ascomycota; Leotiomycetes; Helotiales; Erysiphaceae. The record is from RNAcentral.